UCGUUAUUAUAUAUAUAUUUGGUAGACUAUGAAUACAUGGAUAUAUGUAUUAAACGACAUAUAACAACGCUCCAACGCUCCAAAGCUUCAAAGUUCAAAAUUCAAAAUUUUUAGACAUCAUACACCCUAGGGUUCAAUGUUCCCAGAGUCUUUUUCCUUAUAUGUGUCAAUCACAUUGGUUGCUACCUCUUCGCUGAACACAUCUACCUGGGUAGAAGCAAACUUCCGUGCACUAACCCCACGCUCAAAUAGGACGUCGAGCUCGGCAAAGGAUCGUCCCU
This 281-nucleotide small nucleolar RNA is filed under the name Trichophyton rubrum BMU01672. RNAcentral's name for it is "HACA-box snoRNA". Lineage: Eukaryota; Fungi; Ascomycota; Eurotiomycetes; Onygenales; Arthrodermataceae. The record is from RNAcentral.